GGCUCUGAGCGGUGGAUCACUCAGCUCAUGUGUCGAUGAAGAAAGCAGCUAGCUGCAAGAACUAAUGUGAAUUGCAAGAAACAUUGAUCAUUGACACUUUAAACACACUUUGUGGCCCUGGGUUACUCACGGGGCUAUGCCUGCCUGAGAGUCG
Protopterus annectens (West African lungfish) is the source of this 154-nucleotide ribosomal RNA. RefSeq annotates it as 5.8S ribosomal RNA. NCBI's taxonomy places the organism in Eukaryota, Metazoa, Chordata, Ceratodontiformes, Protopteridae. The transcript has a single exon. The record is from RefSeq and is a predicted model, not a curated record.